RNAcentral lists this ribosomal RNA (253 nucleotides) under uncultured bacterium. RNAcentral's name for it is "partial 16S ribosomal RNA". It matches the Rfam family "Bacterial small subunit ribosomal RNA", at positions 524 to 776 of the family's 1533-position model. The record is from RNAcentral.
UACGAAGGAGGCUAGCGUUGCUCGGAAUCACUGGGCGUAAAGGGUGCGUAGGCGGGUCUUUAAGUCAGGGGUGAAAUCCUGGAGCUCAACUCCAGAACUGCCUUUGAUACUGAAGAUCUUGAGUUCGGGAGAGGUGAGUGGAACUGCGAGUGUAGAGGUGAAAUUCGUAGAUAUUCGCAAGAACACCAGUGGCGAAGGCGGCUCUCUGGGACGGUACUGACGCUGAGACGCGAAAGCGUGGGGAGCGAACAGG